Molecule: non-coding RNA, 117 nt
Filed under: Sexangularia sp. CB-2014
Lineage: Eukaryota; Tubulinea; Elardia; Arcellinida
Source: RNAcentral
CUCGCCUCGGCCUCCGCCAUCUUUCGCGCGCGCGGCGUGCGCGAGAUGACGCUGCAGGUGGAACGUCGCACCUCCUCGUCGCCGUACCCGAUGCGAUCUCCGCCAGACCCAACCGCC